Molecule: ribosomal RNA, 429 nt
Filed under: Pseudomonadota bacterium
Lineage: Bacteria; Pseudomonadati; Pseudomonadota
Description: Proteobacteria bacterium partial 16S ribosomal RNA
Rfam family: Bacterial small subunit ribosomal RNA
Source: RNAcentral
UGGGGAAUAUUGGACAAUGGGCGAAAGCCUGAUCCAGCCAUGCCGCGUGUGUGAAGAAGGUCUUCGGAUUGUAAAGCACUUUAAGUUGGGAGGAAGGGCAGUAAGCGAAUACCUUGCUGUUUUGACGUUACCGACAGAAUAAGCACCGGCUAACUCUGUGCCAGCAGCCGCGGUAAUACAGAGGGUGCAAGCGUUAAUCAGAAUUACUGGGCGUAAAGCGCGCGUAGGUGGUUCGUUAAGUUGAAUGUGAAAGCCCCGGGCUCAACCUGGGAACUGCAUCCAAAACUGGCGAGCUAGAGUAGGGCAGAGGGUGGUGGAAUUUCCUGUGUAGCGGUGAAAUGCGUAGAUAUAGGAAGGAACACCAGUGGCGAAGGCGACCACCUGGGCUCAUACUGACACUGAGGUGCGAAAGCGUGGGGAGCAAACAGG